GACGAACGCUGGCGGCGUGCUUAACACAUGCAAGUCGAACGGAAAGGCCCUGCUUUUGUGGGGUGCUCGAGUGGCGAACGGGUGAGUAACACGUGAGUAACCUGCCCUUGACUUUGGGAUAACUUCAGGAAACUGGGGCUAAUACCGGAUAGGAGCUCCUGCUGCAUGGUGGGGGUUGGAAAGUUUCGGCGGUUGGGGAUGGACUCGCGGCUUAUCAGCUUGUUGGUGGGGUAGUGGCUUACCAAGGCUUUGACGGGUAGCCGGCCUGAGAGGGUGACCGGCCACAUUGGGACUGAGGUGCGGCCCAGACUCCUACGGGAGGCAGCGGUGGGGAAUAUUGCACAAUGGGCGGAAGCCUGAUGCAGCAACGCCGCGUGCGGGAUGACGGCCUUCGGGUUGUAAACCGCUUUCGCCUGUGACGAAGCGUGAGUGACGGUAAUGGGUAAAGAAGCACCGGCUAACUACGUG
RNAcentral lists this ribosomal RNA (468 nucleotides) under uncultured bacterium. RNAcentral's name for it is "partial 16S ribosomal RNA". It matches the Rfam family "Bacterial small subunit ribosomal RNA", at positions 28 to 507 of the family's 1533-position model. The record is from RNAcentral.